GAUAAAAAAUAUACGCAUAACGAUUUGGGGAAUGUUUAAAACUUAGAAGUGUUUUCCACUGGUUAAAUAACAGUCGCAGUUGAAACUUGAGAUUUAAAUGAAAUAAAAAUUAUAUAAAAAUAAAAGAAAAAGUAUUUAACAAUUAUAAAACAGAGCCGUAAAUGGGAACACAAGAGAAAAGAGAAGAAGCACUUUCUUAAAUUGGUUGGCUCUUGUUUACCAGUUCCAUUUCACAUUGUGAUAAACUGACGACCUUUCAACGUUUGUUUCUUGAAAAGAAGCGAUAAUAAAUAUGAAACAAUACAUUUCCUUGAUUCUUUUGCUGUGUGGGGCAAUUCUCAUUGCUACAGUAACUUGUGUGGAGACAUCACUCUGCUAUGAUAGCUUGACUAGUUGUAAUGCUGCCUGUGGAGGAAGUGAUGAGCAGUGUAACGAGUACUCGUGUGCUACUUGGACUGCCAGCUGUAUUGUAUGCAACUGUGCCCUACCAAAUUUUCAACCAUAAUACACCAGCACCAAUGGAAUCUCCUUAUGGUUUAUUCCCAAUAAAGACCGCUCUAAUUGAAGGACUUGGAUUAAAGAUAUUUUUAAUGUUUUAUUUUUCAAUGUCAUCAUGAUGUACAAAAAUAUGUGCAAAUUUUUCCCAGUGAGAAAAAAAAAUUUAAGAGAGUAUACUGAAUUUUUUUAUCAACUUAAUUUUUGCUGAUUAAACAAGUUAUCAAUUUGCCAA
RNAcentral lists this long non-coding RNA (730 nucleotides) under Octopus sinensis (East Asian common octopus). Its description in RNAcentral is "uncharacterized LOC115232511". The record is from RNAcentral. Lineage: Eukaryota; Metazoa; Mollusca; Cephalopoda; Octopoda; Octopodidae.